Molecule: ribosomal RNA, 463 nt
Filed under: uncultured bacterium
Lineage: Bacteria
Description: bacterial SSU rRNA
Rfam family: Bacterial small subunit ribosomal RNA
Source: RNAcentral
AUUGAACGCUGGCGGAAUGCUUUACACAUGCAAGUCGAACGGCAGCACGGGGCAACCUGGUGGCGAGUGGCGAACGGGUGAGUAAUAUAUCGGAACGUGCCCAAUCGUGGGGGAUAACGUAGCGAAAGUUACGCUAAUACCGCAUACGAUCUACGGAUGAAAGCGGGGGAUCGCAAGACCUCGCGCGAAUGGAGCGGCCGAUAUCGGAUUAGGUAGUUGGUGGGGUAAAGGCUCACCAAGCCAACGAUCUGUAGCUGGUCUGAGAGGACGACCAGCCACACUGGAACUGAGACACGGUCCAGACUCCUACGGGAGGCAGCAGUGGGGGAAUUUUGGACAAUGGGCGCAAGCCUGAUCCAGCCAUUCCGCGUGCAGGAUGAAGGCCUUCGGGUUGUAAACUGCUUUUGUACGGUAACGAAACGGUACUGCCCUAAUACGGCAGGCGUAAUGACGGUACCGUAAG